Mastomys coucha (southern multimammate mouse) is the source of this 1277-nucleotide long non-coding RNA. RefSeq lists it as uncharacterized. NCBI's taxonomy places the organism in Eukaryota, Metazoa, Chordata, Mammalia, Rodentia, Muridae. The transcript is spliced from 2 exons. The record is from RefSeq and is a predicted model, not a curated record.
UCCCGCGUCGACGUCACAGGCGGUAGUGGGGGAGGGGAGCGGGAGGUCUCCUAUCCUCCCCCAAGCCGGGCCCCGACGCCCCUCACUCGGGCGUGCAGUCCGCGAUAGGCCAGACCCUGUACGGUGCAAGCGGCUCGCAGACUGCGCACGCCCGGGGCUGCUACUAGAGCCGGUGCCCGCUGCUCCCGCUGCCUGUCCCCCGCCCUCCCGCCGGCGCAGCGACGUGCGUCCCGCUGGUCCCCCCACCCCCCACGUCUCUCCCCGACCCCUUGGCCCUGUCCCCUACCAGCUCGGCGGCGAGCUUGGCCGGCCGUCCGGGAUCCAAAAGAGCAGACACUGGGAAGUUUUGGGGGAGGGAGGGGCGGACCUUAAAGGGACCACGACCUCUUUUCACUGGGGGAAAGAGGGGGACUGAGGGAGACACCGAGUCUGGAACGGAAUGGGAAGAACGUUGAGCGGCUGUGGUGUUCGAGCUCCGCGUUCUUGCUCACCUUCCGUCCCACUUUCCACCCUAGCCAGGAAAAGUCCUCCAGUUGCUUGCGGUUUACGUGGCAGUUUUCUCCAUUUGCCGAGUGUUUGGGAGAUAGGUGUAAACGUGUUUGUUGUACAAAUAGGUCCUGGCCCCAAGUUACACUCAGCAACUAAAUGGAGACAAGAACCUGCAAGUCUGGCCAUCUUAGACAAUUGGGAGAUUUACACUGGCAACAUCAUUGUCACAGUUACUUUGGAAGUAUACCAGUAUUGUUCAAGUUGAGUUUUCUCUUCCUGACAACAGAACCAGGACCUAAUGGCGGACUAGAACUUAAUGGUGCCAACUAGCCAGUGUCAUCCCCUCUGAACAAGCCAGGUAGAGGGAUGUUCUUUGAGAUGAGGAUGAAGCCUAAUUGGUGCCAAUCUUAGAGAACAAAUCUUAACAGAAAUAUAUUCCGAGCAAGCCCAAACUGCAAUUACAUUCAGAGUGGAAAAUUUUCCCUACAGUUCCUAACAAGCCUGGGUAGUUCGCUACUUAUCUCUAAGUCAUUUAGGGGCAGCACUGAUUUAGCUAAACCCUGCCUUGUGCAGUGCAGUAUUUCCUAAGCAUGUUGAUUGGUGAAUCCUUCAAAAAACAUCAGUGCUUUACUCUGUUUCUCCCGUGGUGUUGUGACUUACUACCCCAGGAAGUAGGUCAGGGUCAUGAUUCAGGAACUGUGGAUAAAAAACCCCCACAAUUAUGCAAUAAAAGUUAAAAAAAAAAAAAAAAACCUCAUCAUAAUGCAAUAAAAGUUUAAAAAAACCCA